This is a small nuclear RNA of Euleptes europaea (tarantolino), 138 nucleotides long. RefSeq annotates it as U4 spliceosomal RNA. The record is from RefSeq and is a predicted model, not a curated record. Lineage: Eukaryota; Metazoa; Chordata; Lepidosauria; Squamata; Sphaerodactylidae. The transcript has a single exon.
GUCUUUGCAGUUGGCAGUAUCAUAGCCAAUGAGGUUAAUCUGAGGCACGAUUAUUGCUAACUGAAACUUUCCCCAAUACCACAGUAUGCAUCUAACUGCUCAGUAAACUGUGUAUCUGUAUUGGCCUGCCUACUGGCG